Molecule: unclassified non-coding RNA, 686 nt
Filed under: Hevea brasiliensis (rubber tree)
Lineage: Eukaryota; Viridiplantae; Streptophyta; Magnoliopsida; Malpighiales; Euphorbiaceae
Source: RNAcentral
GGAAAAGCAUCACAUUUAUUUGACCUUUAUGGAUUUUUAAAAUUUUAUUUUACUUUUGCGCUUCACCUCGCUCAGGUGCUCGUCUGUGCCGCGCGCCUAGGCUCCAGGACCCCUUGUAGCCUUAGUGCUCCUAGAGCUUUUAAUAACUAUGCCAAUGUAAUCAUCACAAGUAAAAUGGCAAAGUAACAGUUCUACACACUAAGCACCAAAAGCAAAGGGGCAUCAAAUAAGGAAACUUGCACAAGCUUUCCCAAGAUAACUGAAUUCAACCCAAACACAGGACUGACAUCAGUGCAUGUCUAUAAGGCAAUACAUGAGAGCGUGUGUAUGUGCAGGUGUUGGUAUUUGUUGUGUUUUGCGUAUGUACAGGUGUUGGUAUCUGUUGUGUUUGGCAUAUGUGUGGGUGUCGUAUCCGUUGUUUCGUGUAUGUGCGGCUGUCAUAUCUGUUGUGUUUCGUGAAUGUAUCCACAAAUAGAUUACAAGCAGACAAGUACAAAGUAAGCCAUAUUUAUUUGUUCCUUAUGGAAUUACUACGAAGGACUUGGCACCAAUUGAAAAUGUUUAUAUAGAUAAAACAUUAAUCAUGAGUAGAAUAUGGAACAACAGACAACAGAUAAGUCAUUUGAAGAGGUUCUAAUUCAGUCAAUCCUAUAUGGAAAUAACAAGCAAAAGCAAAACGGAUAGUA